UCCACUGAGCCAAAAGUCAAACCAGGUUUAACAAACAAGAAAAACUCAAGCUCCUGCAAGAGUAUAUGGCACCUCCAUGGCAACUAAUAGAACCACAAGGACCCCACAGUCACAUCUUCCAAGCUAUGAGAAACACCUAACGCCAAAGCACUGUAAGGGCACCGAAUGGAUAACACUGCAGCUAACUUGUCAACUUCUGCGUCUUGUCCAAUCACAUGCAUUGACAAACUUUCAAUUCAGUCAGCCAGGAAGAAGGUCUGUCACAUAGCUUAAAAGGGUAAUUAUUACCGAAGCUGCAGCAAUUUUUUGUAUAGGAUCCUAGUGGUACUACUAGUUGAAGAGAGGGAAGGCUAUUGCAAAACUACAAAGACAUUUUUCAAAACUAUUCCACAGGUCACAUCCCUCUGUCUGUGGGAGCAGGUAUGAUAAUUACUGACCCAGCAACACAAAAACCCAUCUGUACAUGAUUAAACACAGCCACAAACCAAGACGGUUGGUACUUCAGGACUGGAGAACCCCUGUACUAAAGUAUUUCACAAUGUCUGGUGAGAAAUCCACAUCAAGCUCUUCAUCCCUCCAAACACCUUGUUCCUAACCUCUCCUUUACAGUAGUUUUAGGAGAUGUAUCAAGUCUUCUAAAGAGUGGAGAAGGCGGCAAGUGGAGAAGCUGCCCAUAGCAACCAAUCAGCAUCUACAAAUAAUUUUAUAGUGUGUACAUGAUAAAUUAUAGCUAGAUAGAGGCUGAUAGGAUGCUAUGGGUAAUUUAUCUGCUCUUUUGAAGGUUUGCUAUAUUUCCCCUAUGUAAUGUGUAAAUGAGACCUCCCUAAGCAAUGCUGUAUAAAUUCCCCAGAAGGGGUAACAUCCUUUUGGAGUCAAUAUUCUGUAACUCAUUACAUCCAUCUUACCUGUGGGGGGAAAAGACGUCCUACACUUGGGUCUCCAACUCCUUUAACUAGGGGCAUUUCUUGGCCAGGAGUAGAUUCCAAUCCCACUACUGUCGCUCCAGUCUCUACCCAUGCAUCAAUCUCAUAAUGAACAUAUUUACAAGUGUCCAUGUGGAAACAAGUAUUCAGAAAGGAGCAGUCACCGAGAGACUCAUCAGUAUGCAGAUUAAUGAUGCGCCUGUAAAAGAAUACAGUAUCAAAGCCACUUCUAUCCUGAGAAGCACCACAGUCUGGGUACAGUAUGUAAAUGAGGUGGUGACGUGUUCAGUCACAUUCUGCCACUUGUUUUGUAGACAUGAACAAAAAAGUAUUUUCACAUUUUUCCUCCUGUUUUCGCACAGCACCCACAGUUUACAACUGUACUUGUGUGUGGUAAUGUGAAAUCUAAAAGUAUCCCUGAUGGGGAUAUCAUUUCUGUAUUUUAAUCUCCCACAACUGUGCUGAAACCUAGAUAUUUUAGUAAAACUAAUGCUGAAAGUAAUCAGAUAAGUCAAAUAGACUUUUUUUCAUUUGCAAAGUUGAUGUACUAGGUGAAAACAAGCAACACAUGAUAGUAGUUUGAUUAAUGUUCAAAAUUACACAAGGUUCAGAGGGGGCGACUCAAAUGUUUUUUUCAGAGCCCGUAUAUGCAUAUCACUCGUUACUUUAGAUGGGGCAAUAUGCAAAUGUUUGUUUCACUGCCAGGCGCCCACUGUUUUUCACACUUGUCAUCUCAAGUAUUUAAAAAAAAAAAAAAAGGGUGAAAAGCCGGAAUUGUUGCACAUUUCAGUUAGUCUCCUCAGGAAGGGGUGAGCAGAAAUAAUGGGCGCCCGUGGUAUACGCACAUUAGAGCGACAUUUUAAUAGCUUCAUCGGGCACAGGGCACCCAAAGAACAACUGAAUUCCCCCCAAAUUGCUAAGUGUUACCUAAAGUGCAGCCUCCGACACGGAGUGUCCGCUCCUGCCCCUCUCAUGCAUUCUUCUUUAGUCCCAUAGUCACAAAACUCUUGGACCUGAGCCCUCCCACGGGAUCGGAAUUUCUCCACAAUGGACUGCUCCUUGGCUGUGCUGGUGUUUAGAAGCUCUAGGAUCUCUUGACUUACCUAAUGUACAGUAAUGCCAAGAAUAUUAAAAUCCAAGAGAAAAAAAAAAAGUAGUAAUAACCCAAUUAAAAAAAAAAAAAAAGAAGAAGGAAAAGACGAUACAGAGCUAAAAUGCUUAUUUCCUUCAUCUAAUCACGCAGGUGAAGUAUUUCAUGUCGAAGACCUAUGUUUUAGAAAAAUUAAACUAUAUCUAACCAGACCAUCCAUGUAAAUUUUGAAGAUAGUAUUUUAUUUAAGACUGCUACAUUGUGGCCCCAUUAAAGCUAUAAAAUCUUUUAAACAAAAUGUCAAAAUAUGCGUUAAAGAAAUAAAAAAUAAAAAUAAAUAAAUAUAUAUAUAUAUAUUU
Molecule: long non-coding RNA, 2372 nt
Organism: Pseudophryne corroboree (corroboree frog)
Lineage: Eukaryota; Metazoa; Chordata; Amphibia; Anura; Myobatrachidae
Exons: 2
Source: RefSeq, a predicted model, not a curated record